RNAcentral lists this microRNA precursor (103 nucleotides) under Marmota monax (woodchuck). Lineage: Eukaryota; Metazoa; Chordata; Mammalia; Rodentia; Sciuridae. The record is from RNAcentral.
AGUGGUAUAACUGGGUCAAAUGGUGGUUCCAUUCCUCAUUUCUUGAGCAAUUUUCAUACUGCUUUCCAAAUUGGUUGUACCAAUUUGCAGUCCUACCAGCACU